CAGAAGUGCCCACACCAAUCUCAGGGACCCUCACUUCGGUCCCUCAACCGGCUAGUCUCUGCUCGCAAGGUCCUUGUGGGAAAACGAGACAAGGGAAGUGUCUCCUUUCGGAAUGCUCCCCCUGGAUGGCGUUCUUAUAUAUACGAAAUGGCGGCAACCGAGUGGAGCACUCCUUAAUUACUUCCCUUGUGGUUUCACACUCUGGUUGCAAGUGAGAAUGUUCUAAUUAAUUGGUGCGAAC
Molecule: non-coding RNA, 241 nt
Organism: Pelobates cultripes (western spadefoot toad)
Lineage: Eukaryota; Metazoa; Chordata; Amphibia; Anura; Pelobatidae
Source: the annotation of a GenBank genome assembly